This 458-nucleotide ribosomal RNA is filed under the name uncultured bacterium. Its description in RNAcentral is "bacterial SSU rRNA". It matches the Rfam family "Bacterial small subunit ribosomal RNA", at positions 340 to 786 of the family's 1533-position model. The record is from RNAcentral.
UACGGAAGGCAGCAGUGGGGAAUAUUGCACAAUGGGCGAAAGCCUGAUGCAGCUAUGCCGCGUGUAUGAAGAAGGCCUUAGGGUUGUAAAGUACUUUCAUCGGGGAGGAAAAACAAAACUAAUAAUUUUAUUUCUUGACGUUACCCGAAAAAGAAGCACCGGCUAACUCCGUGCCAGCAGCCGCGGUAAUACGGAGGGUGCUAGCGUUAAUCAGAAUUACUGGGCGUAAAGAGCACGUAGGUGGUUUUUUAAGUCAGAUGUGAAAUCCCUGGGCUUAACCUAGGAACUGCAUUUUGAAACUGAAAUACUAGAGUAUCGUAGAGGGAGGUAGAAUUCUAGGUGUAGCGGUGAAAUGCGUAGAUAUCUGGAGGAAUACCUGUGGCGAAAGCGGCCUCCUAAAACGAAUAACUGACACUGAGGUGCGAAAAGCGUGGGGAGCAAAACAGGGAUUAGAUACC